UUUUGAACGGGUAGUAUUGUAGUCAGGUAGGCAAAGCUAUAGGACCCGGACUGUAACAUUAUCCAUAAAGCCCCGUGCGUGCUACAAACUAAGAUAUGUGAAGCAUGCCACCAAAAAACUCUUCAUCAAAUAGGAAUACUUAUCAGAAAGCGAUGCGAGUUCCAAGGACAUUUCUGUUGCCGAUAAGUGUUUGAUGGAUUUCAAGGACGGAUGACUGCUGCCGAGGAUGGAGAGCAGCUCGUCGUCGGAAAGGAAGAAGAAGCGGGGGAAGGUGUUGCGCUUGGUGUCGAGGUAGUCGUUGAGUGACUUCUGGCAGACGUCGAGGCCAUCAGACAGGCCGA
This is a long non-coding RNA of Nilaparvata lugens (brown planthopper), 341 nucleotides long. RefSeq lists it as uncharacterized. NCBI's taxonomy places the organism in Eukaryota, Metazoa, Arthropoda, Insecta, Hemiptera, Delphacidae. The transcript has 3 exons. The record is from RefSeq and is a predicted model, not a curated record.